AAGGCCUUUCGGGGUACACGAGCGGCGAACGGGUGAGUAACACGUGGGUGAUCUGCCCUGCACUCUGGGAUAAGCUUGGGAAACUGGGUCUAAUACCGGAUAUGACCACAUCAUGCAUGUGUUGUGGUGGAAAGAUUUAUCGGUGCAGGAUGGGCCCGCGGCCUAUCAGCUUGUUGGUGGGGUAAUGGCCUACCAAGGCGACGACGGGUAGCCGACCUGAGAGGGUGACCGGCCACACUGGGACUGAGACACGGCCCAGACUCCUACGGGAGGCAGCAGUGGGGAAUAUUGCACAAUGGGCGGAAGCCUGAUGCAGCGACGCCGCGUGAGGGAUGAAGGCCUUCGGGUUGUAAACCUCUUUCAGCAGGGACGAAGCGUGAGUGACGGUACCUGCAGAAGAAGCACCGGCUAACUACGUGCCAGCAGCCGCGGUAAUACGGAG
RNAcentral lists this ribosomal RNA (442 nucleotides) under bacterium AET15H. RNAcentral's name for it is "bacterial SSU rRNA". It matches the Rfam family "Bacterial small subunit ribosomal RNA", at positions 72 to 530 of the family's 1533-position model. The record is from RNAcentral.